This 86-nucleotide transfer RNA is filed under the name Janthinobacterium sp. Its description in RNAcentral is "tRNA-Tyr". It matches the Rfam family "tRNA". From Rfam's summary of the family: Transfer RNA (tRNA) molecules are approximately 80 nucleotides in length. Their secondary structure includes four short double-helical elements and three loops (D, anti-codon, and T loops). The record is from RNAcentral. Lineage: Bacteria; Pseudomonadati; Pseudomonadota; Betaproteobacteria; Burkholderiales; Oxalobacteraceae.
GGAGGGGUGGCCGAGUGGUUAAAGGCGGCAGACUGUAAAUCUGCUCACGUAAGUGUACGCUGGUUCGAACCCAGCCCCCUCCACCA